Molecule: long non-coding RNA, 252 nt
Filed under: Homo sapiens (human)
Lineage: Eukaryota; Metazoa; Chordata; Mammalia; Primates; Hominidae
Description: non-protein coding lnc-ZNF726-7:1
Source: RNAcentral
AUGCCUCUCACAAAGGAUCUCCUUCAUCCCUCUCCAGAAGAGAAGAGGAAACACAAGAAGAAACGCCUGGUGCAGAGCCCCAAUUCCUACUUCAUGGAUGUGAAAUGCCCAGGAUGCUAUAAAGUCACCACGGUCUUUAGUCAUGCACAAAUGGUAGUUUUGUGUGUUGGCUGCUCCACUGUCCUCUGCCAGCCUACAGGAGGAAAAGCAAGGCUUACAGAAGGAUGUUCCUUCAGGAGGAAGCAGCACUAA